Molecule: small RNA, 202 nt
Filed under: Pan troglodytes (chimpanzee)
Lineage: Eukaryota; Metazoa; Chordata; Mammalia; Primates; Hominidae
Description: retained intron
Source: RNAcentral
UUUCGUUUGUCUUUAGAAAAAUUAUUUCACGUUUCAUUUUUCUUUGCACUGAUUUGAAAUUUUCUGUUUUUUAAAUUUUGCUAGGUAUAACCCGGAAAAAUCCCAGAACACCUCUUUCUGAUCUCCAGGGCAUGAAUGCUCUAAAUGAAAAAAACCAACAUGAUACAUUUGAUAUUGCCUGGAAUGGCAGAACUGGGAUUCG